This 333-nucleotide unclassified non-coding RNA is filed under the name Psammocinia sp. QM G303277. RNAcentral's name for it is "sequence contains 28S rRNA gene". Lineage: Eukaryota; Metazoa; Porifera; Demospongiae; Dictyoceratida; Irciniidae. The record is from RNAcentral.
ACGCGUGGACCGAGACGGUCCCGUGUCGUUCACCCGAGGCGGUGCCGUACUCCUCGUGAGCACGGACCAGCGGCGGUUGGACCGGAGCCACAAGGCGGCAGCGGAAGGUGAGUCGACGUGGGUUCGCCCUUGUUGACAGUUAUAGCCCUGCCGUUCGGCGCUCCGGUUCGACCGAGGAAGAAGGGCAGCCCUUGCCCGUUGUGGUGCACGCCGUAUGGCGGGGCCUCCCGAUCCGAGUGAGCCGUGCGGUGUGGACUGCGUGCAGUGCUAAUCGUGGCGGCGAUCUCGGGUAGGAGAGCGUCACUUGUGCGCCAGUGCUGCUGGUAUUCAGAC